This 432-nucleotide ribosomal RNA is filed under the name uncultured bacterium. RNAcentral's name for it is "bacterial SSU rRNA". It matches the Rfam family "Bacterial small subunit ribosomal RNA", at positions 354 to 796 of the family's 1533-position model. The record is from RNAcentral.
GUGGGGAAUAUUGCACAAUGGGCGAAAGCCUGAUGCAGCAACGCCGCGUGGGGGAUGACGGCCUUCGGGUUGUAAACCUCUUUUGGCAGGGAAGAAGCCUUUGGGUGACGGUACCUGCAGAAAAAGCACCGGCUAACUACGUGCCAGCAGCCGCGGUAAUACGUAGGGUGCGAGCGUUGUCCGGAAUUAUUGGGCGUAAAGAGCUCGUAGGCGGUUUGUCGCGUCUGCUGUGAAAUCCCGAGGCUCAACCUCGGGCCUGCAGUGGGUACGGGCAGACUAGAGUGCGGUAGGGGAGAUUGGAAUUCCUGGUGUAGCGGUGGAAUGCGCAGAUAUCAGGAGGAACACCGAUGGCGAAGGCAGAUCUCUGGGCCGCUACUGACGCUGAGGAGCGAAAGGGUGGGGAGCGAACAGGCUUAGAAACCCCUGUAGUCC